This is a long non-coding RNA of Orcinus orca (killer whale), 1104 nucleotides long. RefSeq lists it as uncharacterized. Lineage: Eukaryota; Metazoa; Chordata; Mammalia; Artiodactyla; Delphinidae. The transcript has 3 exons. The record is from RefSeq and is a predicted model, not a curated record.
GAAAAAGAAUAUAAAUUCAAGAGUAUCCUCAAAACCACAAAUAACUGUAUGAUAUCAAUUUUUCUGAGAGCUCUGGUUUCAACUGAUGUCUUCCCAAGAUCCACAUCAAAAAUCCAGCUUCUCCAGGGUCUCUUGUCCACCAGGAAACUAAUCAGAUUGUCGUGAUUGGGAGUAUUCUUUGAUUCCCCUCUUCUCUAGAUUAUAUCCAUAUAAGGUCUGAUUUGUGUAGGAAACACCUUGUGCUGUUAACAGUCCUAGUGAGUAUGUUUUCCUGAUUCACCAUGACAUCUGCAAUGGUGUAAUCAAAAAGAAUGACAUGGGAGUUUUUUCUCUACUGUAGUGUUCACUGGCUGCCUUCACUUGGUCUUUCCAUGUGAGAAUAAGAACCUUUCUCCUGUCAGGAGACUGAGUUUUUCUUGUUUCUUGGAGCUCAAUGUAAUACCUCAGUGUUUUCAGUUUUGUUUGAUUGUAUGUGAUCAAACUAUGUAUAUUUUUUUGUUACAGGAAUGCUUCUAUAGUUCUUUCAUGGAAAUAUAUUAUUAACUGUUUUCUAAGCUGUCCAAUGCUAACAAAUAUUAUUGUGCAUUUCAUUUCCUGACAGGAUAUAUUAAAAUAUACCCUUAUAAUUAUGUAUUUUCAGAUAAACUUCGCAAUUUUCUUUCACUUAAUCAUUUAUAUUUUAAGUCAAUUUUAUGUACAUACAAGUUCAGGUAUGUUUUCCUCAGGCAAAUUUUAUUUUUUAUUCUUUUGUAGUUACCAUAUUUAUUAUGAAAUUAAUUUCUCAUUUAUUCUUAGUACCAGAUACUAAAAUCAUGUUGUUUUUUUUUAAGCGCCCUCUUGUCAAUGACCUACAGGAUUGCACUUGUAGUCAAAGAGAGGAAUGUAAUGAAUUCUAAUAAGAAUGAGCACAAACCAUUAAGUGAUGUGAGGUAUAAUAGUACAGGAUGCUCAGAAGGACUUCUUCUUAUAGGAGUUUGGCUUUAGAGGAUUUGACUGCUACCCAAGAAAGCAAGACGUUUUUCUGUAUUGGAUGCCGUGAGGAGGAGUGGAAACAUGAAAAAAAGCUGUGGAUGUUUAGAGGCAGUCAUCCAAGGAAUAAUUGAG